Molecule: microRNA precursor, 65 nt
Filed under: Cimex lectularius (bed bug)
Lineage: Eukaryota; Metazoa; Arthropoda; Insecta; Hemiptera; Cimicidae
Description: mir-2 microRNA precursor family
Rfam family: mir-2 microRNA precursor family
About the family: The miRNAs are transcribed as ~70nt precursors (modelled here) and subsequently processed by the Dicer enzyme to give a ~22nt product.
Source: Rfam by way of RNAcentral
GCUUUCAUCAAAGUGGCUGUGAACUAUGUUCAUACUCAUAUCACAGCCAGCUUUGAUGAGCGCUG